UCCGGUUUAACACCGGCAGUCCCUCUAGAGUGCCCAACUAAAUGCUGGCAACUAAAGGUAAGGGUUGCGCUCGUUGCGGGACUUAACCCAACAUCUCACGACACGAGCUGACGACAGCCAUGCAGCACCUGUGAACCGGCCCUUGCGGGCGGGGGCAUCUCUGCCACCCUUCCAGUUCAUGUCAAGCCCAGGUAAGGUUUUGCGCGUUGCAUCGAAUUAAACCACAUACUCCACCGCUUGUGCGGGCCCCCGUCAAUUUCUUUGAGUUUUAAUCUUGCGACCGUACUCCCCAGGCGGGAUACUUAACGCGUUAGCUUCGUCACUAAAGGGGUCAAUACCUCUAACAACAAGUAUCCAUCGUUUAUGGCGUGGACUAC
RNAcentral lists this unclassified non-coding RNA (377 nucleotides) under uncultured Pseudobdellovibrionaceae bacterium. RNAcentral describes it as "uncultured Bdellovibrionaceae bacterium contains 16S-23S intergenic spacer region". Lineage: Bacteria; Pseudomonadati; Bdellovibrionota; Bdellovibrionia; Bdellovibrionales; Pseudobdellovibrionaceae. The record is from RNAcentral.